UCGAACGGGUGCUAUCUGCCCGCAAGGGUGGAUAGCGCUAGUGGCGGACGGGUGAGUAACACGCGCAACCUGCCUGAGAGUGCGGAAUAGCCCUGCGAAAGCAGAGCUAAUACUGCAUGUGGUUGUCGGAUGGCAUCAUCUGACAACUAAAGUCGCAAGACGCUCUCAGAUGGGCCCGCGGCCUAUUAGCUAGUUGGUGAGGUAACGGCCCACCAAGGCAGAGAUGGGUAGCUGGUCUGAGAGGACGGACAGCCACACUGGGACUGAGACACGGCCCAGACUCCUACGGGAGGCAGCAGUGAGGAAUUUUCCGCAAUGGGCGAAAGCCUGACGGAGCAACGCCGCGUGAGGGAUGAAGUCUCUAGGGAUGUAAACCUCUGUUGGGUGGGACGAAGAUCUGACGGUACCACCUGAGGAAGCCCCGGCUAACUACGUGCCAGCAGCCGCGGUAAUACGUAGGGGGCGAGCGUUAUCCGGAUUUACUGGGUGUAAAGAGCGCGUAGGCGGUUCCGUAAGUUGGUUGUGAAAGUUCGA
This 534-nucleotide ribosomal RNA is filed under the name uncultured bacterium. RNAcentral describes it as "bacterial SSU rRNA". It matches the Rfam family "Bacterial small subunit ribosomal RNA", at positions 62 to 605 of the family's 1533-position model. The record is from RNAcentral.